Molecule: long non-coding RNA, 1040 nt
Organism: Chinchilla lanigera (long-tailed chinchilla)
Lineage: Eukaryota; Metazoa; Chordata; Mammalia; Rodentia; Chinchillidae
Exons: 3
Source: RefSeq, a predicted model, not a curated record
AUCACCACAGUCUUAUUGAAAAGGAGGCAAAGAGGGAGGAGAGGUCACAGCAAACAUGAUCUGUAGAGAGCAGAGAGGCUCUCCAUGUCCCUGUUUGUAAAGAAGGAGCAGAGCAACCCAAAGCUCCUUCUACACCUCUUUACUACCACGUCCUCUACCGAAGACGUGGAGAAACCCAGGUAAGCUGGCACGGAGAAACAUACUGCCUGAUUGGUAACUACCGUUCUUAUGGGGAUGCUGCCAUCACCACCCCAGUAAAGGUUAAAGAAGAGAAACCAGCAUCCAAGUGGCCCUAUGAGGAUGCUUCCAUGGUUAGUCCAGUAAUGACCAAACCCAAGAAGCCAGCAUCCGUACACGCUCUCAAAAGACCUCGAUUUAUGGAAGAAUAUAACCAACAGUCAGAGUUCCCUAGCCCCAAAAUUCGCCACUUGAACACUGCUGACAAGACUGAAGAAUGGCUGAGCAAUUCUUUUGAGAAGAUGGACAUUAGAUAAAAGAGCUAAUACUUCUUAUUCAGUGACCUCCACUGCCUUCUUCUGGACUUUUUUUUUGGGUACUGGGAAUCGAACUCACAACCUUGCGCUUGCCAGGCAAGUGCUGCACCACUGAGCUAUAUCCUCAGCCCCACUGCCUUCUUCUGGAGAUAGAAACUAGAAAUUCUCCCUGAUCCCAAUUCAGUCAGGAUCUUUCUUUCCUACUAACAGCUAUAGGAAAGAUCCAGAAAUGGUGGUUGAAAGGAGGAGCUGCUUUGGACAUCCAGGGCUUAACCUGCUAGAAACACUAAUGUUCCUCCUCUCAAUCCUCCAAAGUUCCUUCUGGUACAGAAGUAACCAUGUGUGCAUUCUACAAGCCAAGGAGGAGUCAAGCGCAAAGCAGCCUCGCUGACGCCUAAUCUGCCAGCUGGAUUCCUGACCUCAAGCAUUGCCAGCAACCACAACACAGGUAUUUUGUCCCAGCAACAAGAGAAAAGUAACCAAGACACCCUCUUUCUUGCUAGCACUUAAUGUCUCCUGAGGAGUCCUACUGUUGAAUAAAAUGAC